This 253-nucleotide ribosomal RNA is filed under the name uncultured bacterium. RNAcentral describes it as "partial 16S ribosomal RNA". It matches the Rfam family "Bacterial small subunit ribosomal RNA", at positions 524 to 776 of the family's 1533-position model. The record is from RNAcentral.
UACGUAGGGGGCAAGCGUUGUCCGGAAUCAUUGGGCGUAAAGCGCGUGUAGGCGGUCCGGUAAGUCGGCUGUGAAAGCCCCGAGCUUAACUCGGGAAGUGCACAAGAAACUGUUGAAUUUGAGUUCCGGAGAGGAAGGCAGAAUUCCCGGUGUAGCGGUGAAAUGCGUAGAUAUCGGGAGGAAUACCAGUGGCGAAGGCGGCCUUCUGGACGGAUACUGACGCUGAGGCGCGAAAGCCAGGGGAGCAAACGGG